This 504-nucleotide ribosomal RNA is filed under the name uncultured bacterium. Its description in RNAcentral is "partial 16S ribosomal RNA". It matches the Rfam family "Bacterial small subunit ribosomal RNA", at positions 28 to 523 of the family's 1533-position model. The record is from RNAcentral.
GAUGAACGCUAGCGGCAGGCUUAAUACAUGCAAGUCGAGGGGCAGCAGCUUUAUAGCAAUAUAGGGGCUGGCGACCGGCAAACGGGUGCGGAACACGUACACAACCUUCCUUUAAGAGGGGGAUAGCCCAUAGAAAUGUGGAUUAAUACCCCGUAACAUAUCGGUGUGGCAUCACACUGUUAUUAUAGUUUCGACGCUUGAAGAUGGGUGUGCGGCUGAUUAGGUAGUUGGCGGGGUAAAGGCCAACCAAGCCUUCGAUCAGUAGCUGAUGUGAGAGCAUGAUCAGCCACACGGGCACUGAGACACGGGCCCGACUCCUACAGGAGGCAGCAGUAAGGAAUAUUGGUCAAUGGACGCAAGUCUGAACCAGCCAUGCCGCGUGAAGGAUGAAGGUCCUCUGGAUUGUAAACUUCUUUUAUAGGGGGCGAAAAAAGGGAAUUCUUUCUCACUUGACAGUACCCUAUGAAUAAGCACCGGCUAACUCCGUGCCAGCAGCCGCAGUAA